RNAcentral lists this ribosomal RNA (443 nucleotides) under uncultured bacterium. Its description in RNAcentral is "partial 16S ribosomal RNA". It matches the Rfam family "Bacterial small subunit ribosomal RNA", at positions 338 to 795 of the family's 1533-position model. The record is from RNAcentral.
CCUACGGGGGGCAGCAGUGGGGAAUAUUGGGCAAUGGGCGCAAGCCUGACCCAGCAACGCCGCGUGAAGGAAGAAGGCUUUCGGGUUGUAAACUUCUUUUCUCAGGGACGAAGAAAGUGACGGUACCUGAGGAAUAAGCCACGGCUAACUACGUGCCAGCAGCCGCGGUAAUACGUAGGUGGCAAGCGUUAUCCGGAUUUAUUGGGUGUAAAGGGCGUGUAGGCGGGAGCGCAAGUCAGAUGUGAAAACUCAGGGCUCAACCCUGAGCCUGCAUUUGAAACUGUGUUUCUUGAGUGCUGGAGAGGCAAUCGGAAUUCCGUGUGUAGCGGUGAAAUGCGUAGAUAUAUGGAAGAACACCAGUGGCGAAGGCGGCUCUCUGGUCUGCAACUGACGCUGAGGCUCGAAAGCAUGGGUAGCGAACAGGAUUAGAUACCCGGGUAGUC